GAGGGAAAGUUGAAAAGUACUUUGAAGAGAGAGUUCAAGAGGACGUGAAACCGGUUGUAUGGCUGGGUAUUGAGCCAACGAACUAGCCCGUAUUCAGCUAGUCGACUGCGUGCAGCGCGUCUGUGUGUACUAGAUAUAGUGCAUGGGCGUGUGUGGUAUGCGGCCGGUUAGUGCAUUUGCGGGUGAUGUGCGCCGAGGCGUGUGAUGGAGUAGUCUGAACCGCGUGGGGAGAGGCCUCGCUUUUUCGGCUUGGUACCUACCCGUCGGGGAAGAUCGUCUUUGUUGCAUCGUAGAUUAUGGUUAGGUACAGACGCGGUGCUGUGUUGCCGGGCUGGCGCCUAGGUGAGUCGCAUGCGACAAUCCUGGAUGUUCGGUCUUGGUGGCGUGGUGUUGCCCUGGCCGCCCCUCGGUGUAAAAGUUGGUCAUCUCUCCGACCCGUCUUGAAACACGGACCAAGGAGUCUAGCGUAUACGCGAGUCAUUGGGUGGAAAACCCAUAGGCGAAAUGAAAGUGAAUGUCUCUGAUCGGAGGCUAAUAUGCGAUCCGUUACAUUACGGUGUAUGCGCGGAGCAGCAUAGCCCCAUCUCGACUGCUUGCAGUGGGGUGGCGGAAGAGCGUAUUCGCUGGUACCCGAAAGAUGGUGAACUAUGCCUGAGCAGGAUGAAGCCAGAGGAAACUCUGGUGGAGGUCUGACA
This 695-nucleotide ribosomal RNA is filed under the name Tricirronema tentaculatum. RNAcentral describes it as "eukaryotic LSU rRNA". It matches the Rfam family "Eukaryotic large subunit ribosomal RNA", at positions 355 to 880 of the family's 3401-position model. Lineage: Eukaryota; Metazoa; Nematoda; Chromadorea; Rhabditida; Bicirronematidae. The record is from RNAcentral.